UAAAGAUUGGGCCAGUCAUUGGGCGAAGACUACAAAAUUAACCACUGUACAACCAAAGGAAAAGCUGUUUGAGAGAGAGAGAGAGAGAGAGAGAGGCAAAGUUGAAGAUUAACCUCUACAGCUGAGCCAGAGAGGAGAAGCUCAAGUAAGAAAAAGGACUCUUCUCAAUUUUAUUUUCAAUUUUCCCCAACUUUCUUUGGGUGGUGUUUCCUAAUUUAUAGUCAGUUACCGUUGAUGGAUCCAACAGCAGAUGAGCAAUUGGAUUAUGGUGAUGAGGAAUAUGGAGGAAGCCACAAGAUGCAGUACCAUGGAGGUGGGACAAUUCCCGCACUAGCAGAGGAUGAAAUGAUGGGUGAAGAUGAUGAAUAUGAUGAUCUUUACAAUGAUGUUAAUGUUGGGGAAGGUUUCCUACAGCUCCAGCGGUCAGAGGCCCCAGUUCCACCUGUUGAUGCGGGAAAUGUGAGUUUUCAAGAUCAGAAAGCUAGUUUUCCUGAUGCAAAGGCUGAUGGUAUAGGAUCAGAUGAGGCGAAAAUCCCUUGUGUUGCAACAGAAGGGAAAUAUGCUGGCACUGAAGUCCGAUUCCCCGAGCAAAAGAGUGGACCUGUAGUUGAAAGGGCAACUGAACGACCGGCCGGUGCUGCACAAAAAGGAAAGCCUUUAGCAAUGACGUUGACUCGCGAUUCUCAAAUGGGAAACUCUGGGUACCAAGGAUCCAUACCAACGACGCAGAAAAUUGGAGCUGAUCCUAUCAAUAUGCCAGAGAAAAAUGCCAAUGAAGCUACACCGUUGGUGAAUUCUGGUGUGGGUGGAUCAAGGAUUGUUCCGCAAAUGCCAGCUAAUCAACUGGGUUCGAGCGGGAAUGUUAACAUGAAUAGCCCAAUUAUUAGCGAGACUCCUAUAAGGCCAUCUCUGGAGAAUGGCAACACCAUGCUUUUUGUGGGAGAGCUGCACUGGUGGACUACUGAUGCUGAGAUUGAGAGUGUGUUGACACAAUAUGGAAACGUAAAGGAGAUCAAAUUCUUUGAUGAGAGAGCUAGUGGCAAGUCUAAAGGCUAUUGUCAAGUUGAGUUCUUUGACCCAGCUGCUGCAGCUUCUUGCAAAGAAGGAAUGAAUGGUCAUAUUUUCAAUGGGCGAGCUUGUGUUGUUGCGUUUGCUACUCCACAAACUAUAAAACAGAUGGGUUCUUCAUAUAUGAACAAAACUCAAAACCAGGUGCAGACUCAACCACAGGGGCGGAGACCCAUGAAUGAGGGAGUUGGUAGAGGUGGGGCAAAUUACGCCCCUGGAGAUGCAGGGAGGAAUUUUGGAAGAGGUAGCUGGGGGCGUGGAGGGCCGGGAAUGCCUAACAGAGGACCUGGGGGUGGACCAGUGAGGGGAAGAGGAGGCAUGGGAGCAAAGAAUAUGAUGGGGAAUCCUGGAGCUGGCACUGGUCCUGGUGGAGCUUUUGGCCAAGGACUUGCAGGUCCAGCAUUUGGUGGUCCUCCUGCAGGUCUAAUGCAUCCUCAGGGCAUGAUGGGUCCUGGUUUUGAUCCUGGUUUUAUGGGUCGAGGAGCUGGUUAUGGAGGAUUUUCUGGUCCUGCGUUUCCAGGGAUGAUUCCUCAAUUUCCAGCUGUUAAUCCUAUGGGCCUUCCUGGGGUGGCUCCUCACGUCAACCCUGCUUUCUUUGGUCGAGGAAUGUCUGCAAACGGAAUGGGAAUGAUGGGUAAUGCUGGGAUGGAUGGGCCUCAUCCAGGAAUGUGGACUGACACAAGUGGAGGUGGAUGGGGAGGAGAAGAACAUGGCAGGAGAACUAGAGAGUCCAGUUAUGGUGGUGAAGAUAAUGCAUCAGAAUAUGGCUAUGGAGAGGUUAGCCAUGAUAAAGGAGCCAGGUCAAGUGCUGUGUCCAGGGAAAAGGAACGUGGAUCUGAGCGUGACUGGUCAGGCAACUCUGAGAAGAGACAUCGUGAUGAAAGAGAGCAUGACAGAGAGAGGUAUGAUAGGGAGCACAGAUACAAGGAAGAAAGGGAUGGUUACCGGGACUAUCGUCACAAGGAACGUGAAGCAGAAUAUGAGGAUGACUAUGACCGUGGACAGUCUUCUUCAAGAUCCCGUAGCAGAUCCCGAGCAGCACAGGAAGAGGAUCAUAGGUCUAGAUCAAGAGACACAAAUUAUGGGAAACGUAGACGUGCGCCUUCUGAAUGAUCUGAUCUAUCCUGUCAUGCAUCUGUUCCAAGUAUUUUAUAGGACUAUGAGCACAAUCAAUAACCUUUCGAGAUGUCCUUCCUCCAGGUGCUUGUAUGCAGUGGCGUUCUUCCUGUUUGUGUUGGUGCUGAUACUCAGUGGUUUCUGGAUUUAAAGAAGGAGCCGCGAGGCAACUCUCUGUUUUUCGUGACUAAAUCAGCAUAUUUUGGUUAUCUGGAGGAAGAUGAGUUAAAUUGGACAAAUGUUUGAAAAUGCUAGUCUCUGCCUAGUGCCUAGUGUGCGCGGGAAACAUUAUUCAUAUUGGCUGUAAUUUUUGUUUUUUUAGCAUAAAGCAUUGUGAGCAUCCAAUUUAGAAAGGGAUGUAUCAGCAGGCCCACCAGUCUGUAAAAGCUCUAUUUUUUGGAGCUCUGUAUUGUAAAUCAUGUAUUGUAUAGGUUCCAUAAUGUGUAAUGUUUCAUGCACGUAUCACUUUGAGCUUUGUAAAGAUUUUAUACCAAGCCCGCUGAGCACUUGUUAAGUAUUUUUGGUUUGUACAAGUAAUGCCAGCCUAGGUUAGGUGUUGUCAGCUAGCAAUUUUUGUAUAGAGUAAUUUGUUGUUGUAACCGAAAUUUAGGUGAUUGCUGUAACAUCUGGAGGAGUUGUAUAGACCGCAAUUUUUGUUCAUCGCAAUUAUUCUGAGAUGAGUUUAAAAUACUAGAAGAUGCAUUCAACA
RNA transcript from Nicotiana attenuata, 2893 nucleotides. It is a transcript of the gene named cleavage and polyadenylation specificity factor subunit 6, with no coding region annotated. The transcript is spliced from 3 exons. NCBI's taxonomy places the organism in Eukaryota, Viridiplantae, Streptophyta, Magnoliopsida, Solanales, Solanaceae. The record is from RefSeq and is a predicted model, not a curated record.